AGGCUGUUGAGAUAUACAGGCUCUUGAGAGACAAUCUCUAAGGUCCUUCAAGGGAGGCUGACUCUGGCUGGAACUCCCUCUGGGGAGACUCUGUCACUAGAAUCCUUGCUUGGACAGAUCUUGUGAAUUUUGGAUCCCUGAACUUGAGGUUCAUGGACUUUCCUCUUCGUAUGUUGGGGAGAGGGCUUGCAAUACCCAUGCAAUCUGCCCCAAGAGGAGAGCUUGCACCUGCUCUGAGCAGAGAAUGAAGCACAGGAAUGGAGAGACUGUGCCACAAGACAGCUGCUCCGGGCUCUGGGAUGAUCAUCCAGGCCUGCCUCACUUGGUGAAGUAAUUGGGGGAAAUAGUUCCCCAGAUUUGGCCCUGAAUGGAGAUUAAAGCAAGUGAAUGUAAAUAAAGAACCUCCACCCUUAAGGCA
Molecule: long non-coding RNA, 418 nt
Filed under: Monodelphis domestica (gray short-tailed opossum)
Lineage: Eukaryota; Metazoa; Chordata; Mammalia; Didelphimorphia; Didelphidae
Description: lncRNA (ENSMODG00000047699.1)
Source: RNAcentral